GGAAGGACUAUGCAACACUAGCAAUAAUAUUAAUUCUCCAAAUUUGAGUUACAAGCAUAAUAAAUAUCCACCACAAAAACAGAUCUUUCAAAAUUAUAUCACCAAAUUACAACACCAAACUAGUUCAAAAUGCACCAUCAAUUUUCUAGAUUCAUAAGAUUAUGAACACUUUCCGAAAGUGCAUAGCCAACAAUUAUUCCGGUUCUCAUUGUGCGAUUGACGUUGUUCCAUUGAUUGGAUCCUAUUUUUCAUAAAUACAAUCUGAUUCUGGAGCACUUCAAUUUGUUCUUGCAUUACUUUGAUUUUUUCGCCUAGCGAUUGCAUCGUAUCUUCGACAUCCAUCUUGUCCAACGAUUCUGGAAUUAUAGUAUCUUCAACAUCAUUGUCCAACAAUUUUCGAAUCGGAAGAUUAUAUUCCAAGCUAUCUUCGGAUGACAUAAGUAAAGUAAAGAUUUUACAGCUUUAGAAGAUAGAGAUUUUGAGAGAAACUAUAGAUGAAAUAUGAAGGAGAGAUGGUGAAUUUAGAAGAGGUUGGAGACCCAUUAAAUAGAAAGGUAUACUGAUAAGAUAAUAAUGAGAGAGAAAGUGGUAUAACAAUACCACUCUUCCCAAUGUAAACCUUUUAUUACUCCAUUUCUUAAAGUUUCCAAUAAAAGAUACUAAAAAAAUAUAAGGGUAUAAGUGGAAAAAUAAGAUAAAAGUAGUUACUAAUAUAGAAAUAGGACAUUUAUUUUGGACCAUCCUAAAAAGGAAAUUAGGACGUUUAUUUUGGGACGGAGGGAGUAUAUAAUAACAAGUCCUAUAAAAAUAAAAUAAAAUAUUUAUGAUCUAAAUCAAAAUAUAAAUUAUAACACUUUAUUAGGUAGACAGACAAAAAACUACAACUUCAAAUUUAAGUGCUUCUUAUUGGACAUGACCAAAAUUGCUUCUCGUAAUUGAUUACGUUUCAGAAAGAGAGGAAAAUUAUAUUGGUAGCAUAGAAAAAAGACUAAAAAAUAAAAGCGGGGGAGGACAACUGAGCCUUCUUUAUAUCAUUCAAACGUUCGUAGACAAAAUUAUACAUAACGAAGUAAAAAGAAAACUGGAAUUAUCGCUUAGAAAGCAGAAUGUCCAUAUUAGGCAGAACCCCGCACCGAUGAGAUGGGACAUAGAUGGUCAAAUAGUUCUAUGCACUAGCCUACUAGUACCCAUUACUAGAGUUUAACUCAACUCAGUUCAGCAAAGCAGCUAAAAGUACAUUAUGUAUGCAAAAAAUGAGAGCAGAAACAGGCAUAACACUAUGAGCUUACCCGGGGAAAUUCAGUAUCACUCAGAGCCAUGAGUUUUCUUACUUGAAGAAUCUGAUCCCACAAAGGUCGGAUUGAAUUGCGAGACACUCUCGGUUCACAGUGAUUCAGAGCAAGUGCUUUUAGCUGGGACAACAUUUCCAAAUCCUCGUAUUUCCCAAAAACUGAUUUUCCCUCAGCAACCUCGCCACCCUUAGGCAAACACACCUCAUCAUUUUUCUCUGCCUUCACACCCCGCAACACAGGCAUCUUUCUCUUACAAAACCCAACAACCUUACUAAUCUCUCUUAAAUUCAAUCCUGAAAAUAUAAAAUCUGUCAAUCACCAAAUGUGCCAACAACAGUACAAUGCACACAUUUAUAAUAACAAGUGCAAUCAAUAAUGAAAACAAUAACCCAAAUAGCAAUAUUUGUAAAAAAAAAAAAAAAAAAAAAACUUUGUACGGACAAGUUUCACACACUUCAUUCAAAUAUAAAUCCCGCCCACAAUAACAUUGUAGUUGAUACCAGCUUUUGGGCUUUUUCAUGCGUACAAACAUUGAAGUACAAACUCAAGAAAUGAUGCAAUUACCAGUAAAUUAGAAUUAGAAUUGAAAACAGCGGGUGGUGAAGGGGUUUUAACAACUUGAGAGAGACUAUCCCUAUAGCGGGAAGCAAAACCCUAACCCUAGAAAGUUAACGACAAUCAACUUUUAAGCCACCGUUUUUCAAAUCGAGCAAUAAACAGAGAGAGAGAUGGGAUGUUUAGAAAGGAAAUAAAUGGGGACAGAGAAAAAGCAUAGAGAUGCAUUACAUACGGUGAUGUCGCCAAAUAAUCUAUUCUAUGAGCACUGGACCUUCACUUUCUCACUCUAACAUGGAGAGAGAAAGAGCUAGUAGGCACACAAACUUGGGUGAUUUAAUUAGGUGCGUUGAUUCAUUUAUGGAAGCAGAGUUCUAAUUCGAUGAACCACCACCUCCCAUAUUAACCAAUUAAAUGCAUAGAAUAUAUUAAAGAAAGCAAGACAACGAAUAUAAAAGAAGGAAAUUGAUUUGGAG
RNAcentral lists this long non-coding RNA (2323 nucleotides) under Panax ginseng (ginseng). RNAcentral's name for it is "long non-coding RNA (PGIN_LNC013175)". Lineage: Eukaryota; Viridiplantae; Streptophyta; Magnoliopsida; Apiales; Araliaceae. The record is from RNAcentral.